UAACCCCCGUCCAGUACCCACCUGCUCCUAAUUUUCCUCUCCGUCUCCACAAUGAUCUUCACUCCACUCUGGUUCUCCGAUGAAACGCAGAUCGAGUCUCCCAGCAUGCUUAUCCCAGAGUAAGGUACUGAAAUGCAGGGUUGAGAAAGGAUCAGUAACCCCUCACCCAAAUCUUUCUCGCAGGAAAUAUUGGAUUUGAUUUCCAAGUACCUGGUGGUGCCACCGGGGGCCACGGUUUGGGGCAACGACGAGGACAUAUGGAACGCCGACCUAUCCAAGUUUGAGAUCCGGGCCAGGUUCGCGUCUGGUACGCCGUCCUCAACGUCGCCCUCAAGAUGGUGAGCUAGCUAGAUCUGGAUGACGCCAUCGCCGCCCAGUUUAGACAGAGCCUUCGAGGUCUCCCUCACCCUCCGCCACCGCAUCAUCAUCACCGUACUUACUGCAAUCUUUCUCAGCCGCAAGUCCUGCCCUCCAUCGAUCUGAUCCACCAGCAUCGGUGACGGCGCAUCCAUGUUUCUCUGCUGGAUGCUUGAGUUCUUAGUCAUUUUAAUAAUUCAACAUCUUCGCUGUAGAAUAGGGCAGGCCCAAGCACCCGCUUCUCCUUUCUAGACGUUCAAUUUUAGGCAUGUCUCGUACUGUAUCUAGUUCUCCAUGUGCAGGUUAUUGCUACUUAGCUGACUGAUGUAGAUAUAUGGAACCGUGCUAUCUGUGUUAAUUCAUAGGAAGAAUAUUUGCUUCCCCCUUUUCUGACAAACUAUUUUUGUGAUGCAUUAUAUUUCUUUGAUUUUCUUGCUGCUAUAUAUGUAGAUGAAUACUUAAUUACUAAUAUUUUCAAUUGAAGUUGAUUAUCACAGACUCAUUCAAUUAGCUGCCAUAUUAUCUCAAAUUUAUCCUAGUUUGACACUAUUAACGAUUAAUGACAUUUUGAUUACUUUGAGGAGAAAAUAGAUCCCUUAUCCGUGUUAUGAAUCUUAUUAAUUUGUUUGACACACUUUGCACUAAAGAAAUGAGUCAGACAAGCUGCACAUCUUAACUUGUUCCUGUAGGUUCUGUAUGUUUCUUGUGCCGCCCCACUUCUUAUCUAUUUUGGUGUCCGCAUCGUCAGUUACACCAAUAUUAUCCAUCUGGUUGCCGUUCCAGGCUUCCACUAUGCUCACUUUUGGGUUUAAAAUUUGGUUUAGUUGUCAACGUGCAGGGCAGGAAUGAUGGCUCCUUGAUGGGUUGUACAUGCGAGGUUAGGUGCGUCUCCUUUAUGGACAGCAGCGCAGCGACUCGGCCGCACUAAUGCGGUGAAUAUAAUGCAAGAUGCAGUACUGACAAGUCAGAUGGAUCAAAUUGCCAAGAAAUCAUGGUGCCUGGGUUGGAUGUUGAUUGCAACGUUGAGAAUGUGGCCACUAUUUCAUAAUUAGAAUGUCAUAUCCGGGGUCAAUGUUUCAACCAUUGUAGUUGAUUGCAGGGUGGACAAUUGGGCUACUACUAGAUUGUUUCACAUCUUGUAAUCUUUGGAAUGUGUUCUUUGUAAUGCAACACAAUCGAUAUAAUACAUGAUACUUUCUGUUUA
Triticum aestivum (bread wheat) is the source of this 1561-nucleotide long non-coding RNA. RefSeq lists it as uncharacterized. The record is from RefSeq and is a predicted model, not a curated record. The transcript is spliced from 2 exons. Lineage: Eukaryota; Viridiplantae; Streptophyta; Magnoliopsida; Poales; Poaceae.